UACGUAGGGUGCGAGCGUUGUCCGGAAUUAUUGGGCGUAAAGAGCUCGUAGGCGGCUCGUCGCGUCGACCGUGAAAACCCGCGGCUUAACUGCGGGCUUGCGGUUGAUACGGGCGGGCUAGAGUUCGGUAGGGGAGACUGGAAUUCCUGGUGUAGCGGUGAAAUGCGCAGAUAUCAGGAGGAACACCGGUGGCGAAGGCGGGUCUCUGGGCCGAUACUGACGCUGAGGCGCGAAAGCUAGGGGAGCAAACGGG
RNAcentral lists this ribosomal RNA (253 nucleotides) under uncultured bacterium. RNAcentral's name for it is "partial 16S ribosomal RNA". It matches the Rfam family "Bacterial small subunit ribosomal RNA", at positions 524 to 776 of the family's 1533-position model. The record is from RNAcentral.